This is a long non-coding RNA of Acanthochromis polyacanthus (spiny chromis), 2439 nucleotides long. RefSeq lists it as uncharacterized. The transcript has 3 exons. The record is from RefSeq and is a predicted model, not a curated record. Lineage: Eukaryota; Metazoa; Chordata; Actinopteri; Pomacentridae.
AGAGGCAAGAUUCUGCAGAGAUUUUAUUCUCCACUCAGAUUGAAAUCACAGCCGAUAGCAGUGGAGAGUUCAUCUGCAGGAGGGAUAAGAGUUACCCUCCACCAUUCACACAGGACUGUUCCAGAACUGCAGUCAGCAUUUCAGAACCAGCAGAGCAGUCUGUGCCGACAGUCAACUCCACAGCUCCAUCAGCCAAUCAGAGCUGUCCGUUGUCAGCGGACCAUUCUCCGUUAAUUCCAGAGGUGGUGAUGUGGACCGGAGGUGGAUUUUUAUUGGUCUAUAGCUUCACCAUCACCUGCAUUACUGUUGUUAUCUGGAAGCAGAAUCAGAAGCUGAAGAGAGACGAAGACACAAAGAUCUACAGCAACGUCAGACCUAAAGCAAUCAAGAAGUCUAAUAAAGUUUAAUAGCAGCUAAGGAGAAAAAACGCCACGAUUAAAGCUAUGAAUGUUUAGUGGAAGACGAUACUGAAUGUACAGAAGAGGAGUUUCUUUUAAACUGAGACAUGCAAAACCUACAUGAGCUAAAUCCUGCAGUAGAAAUAUGGUUUCUGCAGCAAUGAAUAAACUGAAAUCCAGAGUUCAGGAGUGGAAAAAAACGCCACGAUCCCUCAAAUAUACAAGAAACAGAAAGAUAUACAGAAAAUGUAACGACAGAUUGACUGGAAACAUGAUUUAAAACAGCUGUGCUAAUUUUUGAUUGAAAGUGAAUUUUUGUUUGAUUAAUGGAUCCUUCUGGGUGGAAAUGACGUAAACAAAGACGGAAAGAUUUUGCGUUAGAGAUGUUCUUGAUGAAUUUAGAGUAUUUUUAUGUUUUUUUUAUUUUUGAUAAAAUACCACAUCCAGAGUUAUUCUUCUUUCUCAGUAAUCGAUAUCAAUCUUCUAUCUUCCAGCCCAGCAGUCAAACAGCUCUUGUGAUAACUACCAGUGGUUCUGCAGGUCUUCACUGGGAUCUAGUUCCUGUUAGGGAUGAUCUCCAGCUCUCUGAGGUCUCUUGGUCUUCAGUUCCUCCACAGAUUCUCACGUCCAACAUCUUCUGAUUGUUCUGUCUACACCUUCUCUUCAGAACUUUGUCAUGUUGGAAGUUUGUCUGCAGACUGUCACAGUCUUUAACAUCAUCCUCUUUUCUCAUGAUGUUUACUUUCAUGAAACUUCCUGGUCCUUCCUCUGGAACCUGUUUGAUGCUGAAGAUGAUGUUCUCGGGGUUCAAAGCUUCUACUUUCCAUGUGUCCAAACAUUUUGCUCUCAUUCGUCCACAGAAGUGAUGAGCAGCAGCUUCCUUCUUUGUCUGGCUGAGCUACUGGGAGUCUUCUUUGGUCUUCAGUGGAGAUGAUGGAGAUGUUUCCACCAGAACUUUUCACAUUCAUCAGGAUGUUCUUUGUGCUGAUCAUUGGAUUCUAGCAGCUCUCUGAGAUGUUUCACAGUGUGGAACUCUUCUACUUCUUAACGAUGCUUUGCUCUCUGGACACUGGACCUUCUAGCCUUCUCUGAGCUUUUUGCUUUAAUCCAUGACUGUAACUGAUUACAGAACUAAAGUAUCAUCUGAUCUCAGUUUAUGUGUUGGUAAAUUAACAAGCAACAGAUACUUUAUUCAUCCCUUUGUGAAAUUCAGGGUCUCCGGUGUCUCAUACGUAUUACAUUUAAGAAAAAUAAGAACCCUAAUGUUUAACAUCAUGAAGAGACACGUGCAAAUAAUAUGCAUAGUUGUGCUGAUAUUUACAAUAAAGAAGAGUAUGUUUUUUAACACUUUGAUAAGUAAAUGUAUGGGGCGUUGAAGUGCAUAUAUGAUAUAAAAAAACUAAGGAAAUUACUUCACAAUCGAGUAAUACUAUCAAAAUCAUAAAACUGAGCAAAAUACAUGACAGUACAGGUGCAUUGUCUUAGUUUCUUAGAGUAUUUUUUAGUAAAAAAUGUAGAAAUAGAAAUCUAUUCCCUCUAACACAAUGUUUCACCGUCUUUAGUCAUUUAUUUUUCGUUUCCAGUCAGAAGAAUCCUUCAUGGGUAUGAAUAAUUUGAGGCUUAUUUGUACAUCAAGACAACAGCAUUUAGAUCUUAAAUAGACGUUUUUAUAUUUACUGUGCUGCUAAAGCUGACCUUUAAUUUAUUUUUGAUUCAUUCAUUGUUGUUUAAUCUUUGUCUUAUUGCUGAUUUUGGUCCUUUUCUGAAGCACUUUGUGACUUUGUUAAGAAACCUGAUGUAUAAAUUAAGCUUAAUAUCAGUAUUUCUUUAAAUCCUGAGAUAUUUUCUCCUGUGUGAUGUGUAUUUUCAGCAGCUGUGUGUUUCCUAUAAGCUCGUGUUUCAUGUUUUAAUGAUCAGGAUGCUGAACUACGUAUUAAUGACACGUGUGCAGUACAAACGGUGUUGUAAACAUUCUGUAGAUUCACAGAUUUGAAGCAUUUAAUAUUGAAAAAUAAAAAGUAUAAGUUAAUUAGUUGUAAAA